RNAcentral lists this long non-coding RNA (2292 nucleotides) under Homo sapiens (human). RNAcentral's name for it is "HSALNT0107581". Lineage: Eukaryota; Metazoa; Chordata; Mammalia; Primates; Hominidae. The record is from RNAcentral.
GUUGCUGCUUUCAUGAUUUUGUCCUUGUCUUCAACUUUUAGCAUUUUUUCUCUGAUGUAUCUGUUGUGGCUCUUUUCAUAUUUAACCUACUUGGAAUUCAUUGAGCUUCAUAUAUAUGUAGAUUUUUGCUUUUCAAUAAACUUGAGAAGUUUUCAGCCAUUAUUUCUUUGAAUAUUUUCUCUGCUCCUUUUUCUCCUUUGGUACUCCCAUUAUGUCUGCAUCAGUGUAAAUGAUGGUGUCCCACAUUUCUCUGGGCUUUCCAUUUUUCUUCUUUUUUCUCUUUGUUCUUUGGCUUACAUAGUCUCUAUGAAUCUACAAGUUUGCUUAUUCUUUCUUCUGACAAUUCAAAUCUACCAUUAAGCCUCUGAGUUUUUAAAAAUUAUAUUUAUUAUAACUUCUAAGUCCAAAAUUUCCAUUUGAUUCUUUUCUAUAAUUUCUUUUUCUUUAUUGAUAUUCUCUAGUUGAUGCAACAUUGUCGUACCUUUCUUUACUUCUCAAUCAUGUUUUCCUUUAGUUCUGUGAAUCUGUGGAUAAUGGCUAAUUUGAAGUCUCUUUUUUUUUUGUUAUAAAUCUGUUCUCACAGGCAGUUUCUGUUGUCUGCUUUUUUUCCUAGUGUAUGGGUCAUGCUGUUUCUUUGCAUGCCUUGUAAUUUUUUGUUGCAAUCUGGACAUAAUAGGUAAUAUAUUGUAGCAACUUUGUGUAUAGGUACUCCCCUCCCUCCAGGACUUAUUGUUAUCUGCUCAUUUAUUUGUUUAGUGACUGGCUGGGUUAUUUUAAUGAAAUGUAUUCCUGCAUCCUCCCUCCAGCGUAAAGCCUCUGUGUUGCUCCUCGGGGAGAUGCAGCAUCCUAUAGUCACCAUGGGGUAACACUGGUUUUGGUAAGGGGGAUAAGUUGGAGAGGGAGCCUGUGUUCUUGAUUAUAGCAGUCUGGAGUGAAGUCUGUCUUGCUGAGCUGGGAAGGGGGUGGGAGCAAGUGGUCUUGGUUUAUAUACCACAGAUGCUUUCCUUUCUUACAGAAUUUUCAGAUUUCCUUUGAUAUAUGUUUCUUCAUUUGCUGUUGGCCCUUAGGACUGUCUCCAUAGGCUUUAAGUGAUUUUUAAAAAUAUUUUUUAUCAGUUUCAUAUGAGAGCAGGCCAGUGGAGCUCCUCAUACUGUCAAGCCAGAAGUACUAUUCUUUCUUUUUGGAGACACAGUCAUGCUCUGUUGCCCAGGCUGGAGUGCAGUGGCACGAUCUCGGCUCACUGCAACCUCCACCUCCCGGGUUCAAGCAUUUCUCCUGUCUCAGCCUCCCGAGUAGCUGGGAUUACAGGCGUGAGCCACCAUGCCCAGCCAGAAGUACUAUUAUUUCUUAUAACUACAUAUGAAUCUAAAAUUAUCACAAAAGGAAACUUCUUUUAAGAAAAAGAAAAGAAUCAGAACAUAAAUAUACAGCAUGGCAAAACUACAUCUAAAACAAGUAUUAUAGGUCUCAUGGUGGAAAAAUUGGACCCACAAGAAAAGUUGUUAAUUAUCUCUGAUAUUCUGAACCAUUGAUAUCUGCAAAAUGAUUACUAGGUAUGUGCAAUGAAGGCUAUUGAUGUUACCCUGUAUAUCUGCACACUGUGUACAAAUGCUGUUAAAUGAUGUAAUAAAAAAUUAAAAAGGAAAUUAAUGAAUUCAUAUUUAAUAAAUUUUAAAAAUGGAGAAGGUAAGACUUUCUUACAGAAAAAUGCCAGUUGAAAUCAUUGAGAAAACUAGUAUCGGACAAUUACCACUUGCAGCCAUCAUAGUAAAAACUGAUAACAGGCAAAAAUCAUCACAUGAUAUAUUGAAGGGAAAAGUUUCAUGAGGAACAUGAUGUUUGCAUGGCCUGAAAGUAUAUCCUCACAGAUUGCUUACUAGUUGUAAGGGGAAAAAUAGCAACUACAUAGUGGUCAUACUAGAUGACACCUUGACCAGUUGGCUAUAAUUAAUAUCCUCAAUGAGGGGCAGAGAGCCAUCAUGUGUCUCUACAUGUAAUAAUCAAAAACACUUAUAAUGUCACUGAUAGUAUUUUGUCUGGUCUAACCUGCGUCUAAUCAUGAAGAAACAUCUGACAAACCAAAAUUAAGGAACAUAUUAUAAAAUAAGUGGCCUCGGUUCUUCAAAAACAUCAAUAUCAUAAAGACAAUGGCUGAAAAACAAUUCUAAAUUAAAGAAUAAAGGGACAUAACAUCUGAAUGCAUUAUGUGAUCCUAGACUGGAUAUUGAAUUUGGACAAUUGACAAAAUGUGAUAAGGACUGUAGAUUUUUAAAAAAGUAUUUUAUCGUGGCC